Molecule: ribosomal RNA, 514 nt
Filed under: Anomala valida
Lineage: Eukaryota; Metazoa; Arthropoda; Insecta; Coleoptera; Scarabaeidae
Description: partial 16S ribosomal RNA
Rfam family: Bacterial large subunit ribosomal RNA
Source: RNAcentral
GUCUUUUUGAUUAUAAUUUAAAGUCUAACCUGCCCAAUGAGGAGUUGAAUGGCCGCGGUAAUUUGACCGUGCAAAGGUAGCAUAAUCAUUAGUUUUUUAAUUGAAAGCUGGAAUGAACGGUUGGACGAGAAAAUAACUGUCUCAAUUUAAUUGAAUAUAGAAUUUUAUUUAUAAGUAAAAAAGCUUAUAUGAUUUUAAAAGACGAGAAGACCCUAUAGAAUUUUAUAUUUUAUUAUAUUGAUUAGGGUUAGAAUGUUUAUAUUUUUAAUAUAGUAAAAUAUUUUGCUGGGGCAGCAGAAAAAUUGAAUGAACUUUUUUUAUUAUUAUAACAUUGAUUUAUGGUUUAAUGAUCCAUUAUUUAUGAUUACAAGAUUAAAUUACCUUAGGGAUAACAGCGUAAUUUUUUUCUAGAGUUCUUAUCGAAAAAAGAGUUUGCGACCUCGAUGUUGGAUUAAAAUUAACUUUUGGUGCAGGGGCUAAAAGGUUAGGUCUGUUCGACCUUUAAAAUUUUACA